UUGGCUCAGGAUGAACGCUGGCGGCGUGCCUAACACAUGCAAGUCGAACGGAGUUACGAGAGCUUGCUUUUGUAACUUAGUGGCGGACGGGUGAGUAAUGUAUGAGCAACCUGCCUUUCAGAGGGGGACAACAGUUGGAAACGACUGCUAAUACCGCAUAAUGUAUUUGGGUGGCAUCACUUGGAUACCAAAGGAGCAAUCCGCUGAAAGAUGGGCUCAUAUCUGAUUAGUUAGUUGGCAGGGUAACGGCCUACCAAGACUGCGAUCAGUAGCCGGACUGAGAGGUUGAACGGCCACAUUGGGACUGAGAUACGGCCCAGACUCCUACGGGAGGCAGCAGUGGGGAAUA
Molecule: ribosomal RNA, 349 nt
Filed under: uncultured rumen bacterium
Lineage: Bacteria
Description: bacterial SSU rRNA
Rfam family: Bacterial small subunit ribosomal RNA
Source: RNAcentral